UACGAAGGUCCCGAGCGUUGUUCGGAAUCACUGGGCGUAAAGGGAGCGUAGGCGGCGUGGUAAGUCAGAUGUGAAAUCCCGGGGCUCAACCCCGGAACUGCAUCCGAUACUGCCAUGCUCGAGGAUUGGAGAGGUAGCUGGAAUUCUUGGUGUAGCAGUGAAAUGCGUGGAGAUCAAGAGGAACACUCGUGGCGAAAGCGAGCUACUGGACAAUAUCUGACGCUGAGGCUCGAAGGCCAGGGUAGCGAAAGGG
This 253-nucleotide ribosomal RNA is filed under the name uncultured bacterium. RNAcentral's name for it is "partial 16S ribosomal RNA". It matches the Rfam family "Bacterial small subunit ribosomal RNA", at positions 524 to 776 of the family's 1533-position model. The record is from RNAcentral.